This 237-nucleotide long non-coding RNA is filed under the name Medicago truncatula (barrel medic). RNAcentral describes it as "long non-coding RNA (MTRU_LNC004363)". The record is from RNAcentral. Lineage: Eukaryota; Viridiplantae; Streptophyta; Magnoliopsida; Fabales; Fabaceae.
ACCGGCGAAGGUUGUCCGUUCCUGAUAUUUUUAAAUGGGUUUUGUAGAGAAGAUGGAGGGGACUCUUUUUAUGGUGAUGGAUUUUCAAAAAUGAAGAUGGUGGAGCAAUGUAACGACCGCCGGAGACACACUGAAGGAGGGAGGAGGCGGAGGCGGAGGAGGCGGAGGCGGAGGCGGCUAGGGUUUGUUUGAGAAUGAGAGAGUUUUCCAGAUUUCUUUGGUGAAGAGAUAGAAAAU